Long non-coding RNA from Manis javanica (Malayan pangolin), 4412 nucleotides. RefSeq lists it as uncharacterized. The record is from RefSeq and is a predicted model, not a curated record. NCBI's taxonomy places the organism in Eukaryota, Metazoa, Chordata, Mammalia, Pholidota, Manidae.
CCACUUCUCGCGUUGUUGCGAAAGCCCGGAAAGGUGGAUUUUCGCCGCACUGCCCUGGCGGCUGCUGCGGCCGUCAGCCCUCCGCCCCCGGGUCCGGGUCUGUCGGGUAGAGCGCCUGUAGGCAGCUCUUAGCUUCCUUCCUCCUCUGCGUGCCGGCAAACGAAACGGAGCGGCGCCCUCGACCCCGGCGCCGACCUGGGCCCGCAGAGGCGGUCGGGACGGGACUGAGCAUGCUCGGGCGGCGCAGGUGGCGUCCCGAGGUGGAGGUGGCCGCGGUCCCACCGCGACGCCGCAGGCGAUGCAGAGCCUCCAGGUGAGGUGAAAAAUCACAUUGAACGUCAGCUUUACCGUGUCUCGCGUGGCAACACACUUGAGCGCCAAUAACUUUUCAGCCCGUGUUUCUUUCACGCGAAUCUCCUUUUUCUGCGAGCUUUUAAAAGACACCAGUCGCCCCUGGGAGGCCUGCAUGCUUUCCCCCGACCCCUGAUCUGUGCUGGGGUCACCUUCGUCCUUGAGCUUUGAGACCCCAUUGUCGCUGGCACCGCCUGAGCCCUGCUCUGGAGUUCGCCCCGGUUCCCAUCCACAGCCAGGCCGCCCCGGCGGGGGGAAGGUGGAUACAGCAUCUUCUCAAUCGUCCGCACUGCCGCCCGCGCCUCUGAAGCCUCCUGGUCCCCGGGCCCCGGGCCCCGUGGCACGGGCGUUCCUCGUGCGUCCGGCUUCCUACCGACCGCUGUUCCACCUCCUUCCCGGGUCCUCCUUGGCGCGCCCCGCCUGUAGCGCUUCCCCCUUUGGCGCUGCCUGAGGCUCUCACCCACUCCAAAGCUCAGUCCCCAGGUUGGUGGUCAGCACGUAGGCUGCGCCCGCGGGUAGUUGCCCAAAUCCCGUGUGUCCGCCCACACCUGUUCUCACUGGUCAGUGUGUCUGCCUGGCCCUUUGUCCCCAUGGCUGUUAAUAUCGUGAAUGCCAUCUUUGCCCCACACCAUACUCUCCAGGUCUCCCUCUGAUCAGACCCUUUUAUGUAACCAAAUAUCUUAACUGCUGUGACCCUGCGGAAACUUGAGCCCAGCAUGUCCCAAACACAACUCAGGAGCUGCGGUUGCCCUUCCUCCUGAAUGACCUAGCUGGGUUACUGGCACCCCGAUCUUCUCAGCUCUGCGCCCCAUAGAUAUGGAUGCCGACCUCGACUCAUCCAUCCGUGUGUCCCCUGUCAUCCAGCUGGUCACUGGCACUGCCUCUGCCCUUAGAUGUCCCGACUCCUGAUGCUCCGUGUACAUUACCCUCCUCAGGGCCCACCUGCAGAUGGGCUCUCUCUCUGUGGUCCCUGCCGCCCCCCCCUUCCGUGCCUCUUCAGGCUUCUCUUUAAGCAGAUUACGUUUCAGUGCAUCUGCUAAAAAUCCUUAGUGGGUUCGGAGUGCCUUCAGGAUAAAGUCCAGUGUUAAAGCACGCCCUGGCCCAUCUCCCUCUCCAAAUCAGCCCCCAGCCAGUGUCCCCUGGCGCUCGAGGGUCAGAGCCUGGUGUCCCAUAUCCUGGCCAGUCCAGAAGGCUUGCCGUGCAAAUCCACGCCUCCGUGUUCCUUUGAAUCUUUGGUCUUCCCUUUCCCCUUGGCACAGUUAGGCCUUUGAGGACCAGCUGGCGCCAGGUCUACUGCGACCUCCCCAAGGUGACUUCCUCUUGAAUACUUCAUGUGGGCCGCGUACUUGUCUCCAUAUUGACACCUGACCUCGAUUUAUUUUUCUUCAGCUCCUCCACUGCUUUGUAGGCAGUGUGACAGCAAGGGCUUGUUUCAGCAAUCUGUGUGUUUUUGUUUUCAGUACAAUUUUACUUAAUAAAUGAAUGAUAGAUGUAUGUACCAUGUCAUAUUUAAAGUUCCUUAAAUUUUGAAAUUAUUCCUGAAAUUUGUAAAGAGAAUGCAAAGAAAAAAUACCAGAACAGAGUCACGUCAUAUUCGACCUGCUAAAUGGUUAUGCUCUUUUGGGUGAUGGAAGCUUAGUCCCAGAUUCGACCUCGGCCCCGUGAAUUUCCUUUUGCUUCCCCAUGAGUUGGCCGAUGCACUCGUUGCAUCAGUCUGUAAGGGCACACGGCUCAGCGUCGUGUUGCUGAUCAGUCCACAAUUCCAUUGUUCUCUAUCAUAUGUUUCCUUCCACCUCCACGGUGGGGUUAUAACCAUCUAAUUAUAUGGUCACUCCUUCGGAUAGAUUUUGUUUAUUUUUCUGUUGAAAGUAUGGCACCCAGGCAGGACAGAUUAACCGUUUAGGGGUGGACACGAGGGCCCCAGUUGUGCCCGCUCCCACUGUCUGCUGAGAGCACCGCGGAGGGCUCGGUGGAGGGGGCUGAUCCCCUGCUCCCGGGCCCCCUCUCCUGGGGACAAUGAACCCCUCCAGACCUCCUGAAGGGAGUGGGCUGGGGGCAGCAGUUGUAACAAGCCCCCCAGGGCGCUCUGCACAGCGCCCUUGAGAAGCACAGUUAGGUCGUAUGGAUCAAUGGAAAACUAGUAGCUGUGAGUCCGGAGCUUCAGGUGGCCUCAUCUUGGUCCCUUUUGCAGAGAGGGGUGUGGCUGGGGGCGGGGGGCUCUGGCCCGUUGCCACGGUGAUCUCCGUGUCGGUGCCUGCGUAGCCGCAGCUUGUUUCCAGCCUGGAGAGUCUGGGUGGUGCCAGUGGGGAGGCUUGGUCUCCCCUGUGCUGAACCACGCAGGGCUCUAUUUGGUGCUGCUUCCGGUGCCCAUCCUGAGCCCAGCCUCUGACAGGAAACCCAAGGAGACAUUAAAGAAUGCUGUAAUUCACAAAAUGAACAGCUGCAUCAAGAAACAGACGUGACAGUCCCAUUAGUCUGAACAGAGUAUGGUACUCACCAGGCCCAUCUGUUCUGGAGACGCCGAGGAGAAGGACGCUCUGAAGUAAGGGCUGGGCGCCGAGCUGUCGAUGUAGAAGACGUUCCCAGGAGCUAUUAGUAUCUGAGAGAGUUUACGGAAAAUCAAUUACCAUUAAAGGGAAACUAAAAGAAAAUAUAGCCACAUGGAACCCGUGUGUGGAAGACCGAACAGCACGAUGGAAGGAACCAGGCUCUCAGCUCAGCCGUGCUUGGAGCGGAGGCGCCUGUAGGUCACACCUUUGAAAAUUUUAUGUGAGUUGGAAACAGACUUGCAUCGGGUUGAGUCUUGAGAUAUUCAGAAGCAUUGGUACUGCUCGUCAGUACAUGGCGUAGACCUGGGCACUGCCUGCUGAAGUAAGCUUGGGCACCGCUUCCCGAUCACCCUGGACAUCAUCCCAGUCAGCUGCCACCAGGGGCUCUCGCCGGCGCCCAGGAGGAAACCCACACCUCAUCCCGGGGUGUUGCAGGAGCCCGGAGCUAGGACCCGAUCCAGGAAGACCGUCCGUCCUGCCCACUCCGUUCGCCCAAGGCCGAGGCCCACCGCGCUAGCUGCUGUUUUAGAAGCAAGUAGAUUCGGGAAGGGGCAGCACUACCGGAGGUGCAGAGUACUGGCCCCACGGUAAAACUGAAACACUAAAGACUGAAGUGGUAGCGAAUUCACAGUCAUUUAUUUAACUUCAGUGAGAAGGCGGGUCACUGGCACGGAGCCAGCCUGGAAUCCGGUCAGCGCCGUAGCCUGCAGCUGCCCUUCUACAGUGCGGGGCGCUCCUGUCAGCACUCACCUUGGUGAACUGGAGAAAGUAGUAAGGAUCAUCUUCUACUAUGAGGAAAUCGUAUUUUCUUGCGACCUGAAGAAAAGUUAAAACAGUAAGUUCAUUUCUUAGGAGAUACUUAAAGUGAAAAUCACUGGGACGCAGAAUCCUUCGCGCUGGUUGGGUGGGGCUGCACAGACCCAGGAGUGCUGGCGCGCGAGACAGACGGGGGCGGACGGAACUGCAGCACACGCCCGGCGUUGAGGAAGCGGCACUUCCAUCAGACAGGCCGGCACUUACAGCCGUAGAACCGGGCGAGGCUGUCUGGGGGGGCGGGGGGGGGGGGCGUGAAUAAGAACACUCAGGACACAGCCGAGGAAUGGGUGAAGAACAGGGCAAAGUUUUGGAAAAAAGGAUAUAUAGUGAGUGAAAGGAACUGUUUGGAAUCUUAUGAUUCCACCGCACAUGAUCGAAUUCUAUAUAGUUUAACAUGGGUUUGGUAUGUGUUUUUAAAAGCUAUUUGUAGUGACUGGCUAAGGAGCAUAGUUACGUAAGUAAAAGCGACUUUACAAAAGGCACAUUUGUCUUUUCAAAGGUUUCUGUAUUGCUCAAUGUGUUCGCUACUUUUUAAAGACUGUUUGUGGUGAGAAGCUAGGCAUCAUAGGCAGGUACCCAGAAGAGACCUUACAAGGGGAGCUUGCCUCUUAUUUUAAGAAAUAAUUUCUUUGUAACCUGAAAUGACAGGGAGUAGGAAAGAGGAAAGUUGAAAAUAAAAAUAUAAUGAAAAUCAAA